Molecule: non-coding RNA, 122 nt
Organism: Tupaia belangeri (northern tree shrew)
Lineage: Eukaryota; Metazoa; Chordata; Mammalia; Scandentia; Tupaiidae
Source: Rfam
AACAUGAACAACAGACUCCCAGAUGUCUAAGCCCUGACCAGAGGACCAGUCUGGGAACCAGUAAAGGCUCAUGAGUUUACUGUGGCAAGUGCACCCAAGAGCCCAGCAUGGGGCUGGCAAAG